Long non-coding RNA from Suricata suricatta (meerkat), 1390 nucleotides. RefSeq lists it as uncharacterized. The transcript has 3 exons. Lineage: Eukaryota; Metazoa; Chordata; Mammalia; Carnivora; Herpestidae. The record is from RefSeq and is a predicted model, not a curated record.
CAAUCACUCUGCUGUGUUAUUUUAAAGGAAGCACAAUACUAUCCCCAUGUCUGACUGGAAGACCUUGAAGGACAGAGGAAGGAAUUCUUCUUCUCUGCAAAGGCUACAAUGAAGUGUAUUUAAUUUUUAAAUUUAGAAGAGGCUGUUUUUAAUAGGAACCACCAGGAUGUUUACAGUAAGAGGUUUUCAGCUAAGACCUGAGGGGAGAAAAAGGAACAGAGGACGGACUUCGCUGCGGCUCAGAGUCUCCAGGCAGGAUUCUUGGGUCUCCCGGCUUGUAACUAACUCCUAUAGCUCCCUCCAGGACUUCCUUCAAUGUUUUACCACCAGGGCUUUGCCCUGGUUCCUGUUCCUUCCCUCUGAUAACCAUAUACAUCCCCUCCACCUCAAAUAUGUUAGCAAUCAGCCUUCAAACAUGUGGCCCCGCCGUUACACAUCGGGACUUCCGACUCAUGACUAAUGUUUGACUAGAUAGUACUAAAUAACCUUAUCUUGACAGCAGCCAGCCCCUCAGAGUUCUGGAAACCUCGCUUCCAAAUUCCUUAGAGACUUAAUGCUGUGCCCAACCCCCACUGACUAGAAAGUGCUUAAUCAGUUACUCUUCACAAUCCCAGGAUGGUCUUUCUGCCCACGGGUCCUUUUUGCAACAAAGAAGGCUAAAGAAUUAGUUCUUGGCUCUUCAGUCUCUGGCCCACAUCAGGGUUCGUUGACAAAAGGCAGAUCCACAGGAGGAAAACAAAAAGAAGUUUUAUGAAAAUGUUUAUGUUAUGCAAACACAGGAGAAACUCCCGGGAUGAGUAACUGAAAGUUUUGGUUAGAAUCUAGUGUUAGCACAGAAAGGUAUUUUUAGGGAAGAGACAAGAUAAAGGAACAGGACUGUGGGUCUCCAGGCCAGCAGAUUGUGUGGUAACACCUCAAAGAGAAACUAAUGGCAGAUGAAGGCUAGUUUCUACUCGGUUUGGUAUGUGGAUUUCUCUCGUGCCACCUCCAGGCUGAGAAGGGACUCAAAUUGUUCAUGGGGUUUCAUUUCUGUCCUUUUUGGUAGAGAGGGAAAGAGAGACACUUUUAUAAUUUUGUGUCUUGCUUCUAGACAAAUAGGAGAAAACCAGAGGGCAGGGGUUUUUUUGUUGGCUUUUUUGUGGGGAGGGGUCUGGUCAUUCUUAAUUGGCUUCAGUAUGAAAUAAUCCAUAUGCUGAAGUGGCGUAUUUUGAGGUGACCAAAUUUUGCUCCCCUUCACAGUUAAGGUUAUAUAGCUUGAAAAUUAGACAAAGACCUUUUUCUUUCAACGUUGUUCUUAAGAAAGAUCAAUGAGAAAUUACUAUUACUGCAUAUAUGAGAUUUAAUAUUUGUGAUUUUAAUUUUUUUAAUUAAAACAUUUUAAAGUGUAUUU